Molecule: ribosomal RNA, 1344 nt
Filed under: uncultured bacterium
Lineage: Bacteria
Description: bacterial SSU rRNA
Rfam family: Bacterial small subunit ribosomal RNA
Source: RNAcentral
GAUGAACGCUAGCGGCAGGCUUAACACAUGCAAGUCGAGGGGUAGUUAUCUUCGGAUAAUGAGACCGGCGCACGGGUGCGUAACGCGUAUGCAAUCUACCUUAUACAGGGGGAUAGCCCAGAGAAAUUUGGAUUAAUACCCCAUAGUAUUACGAAAUCGCAUGGUUUUGUAAUUAAAGUUCCAACGGUAUAAGAUGAGCAUGCGUCCCAUUAGCUAGUUGGUGUGGUAACGGCACACCAAGGCAACGAUGGGUAGGGGUCCUGAGAGGGAGAUCCCCCACACUGGUACUGAGACACGGACCAGACUCCUACGGGAGGCAGCAGUGAGGAAUAUUGGUCAAUGGGCGCAAGCCUGAACCAGCCAUGCCGCGUGCAGGAUGACGGUCCUAUGGAUUGUAAACUGCUUUUGUACAGGAAGAAACACUCCCUCGUGAGGGAGCUUGACGGUACUGUAAGAAUAAGGAUCGGCUAACUCCGUGCCAGCAGCCGCGGUAAUACGGAGGAUCCAAGCGUUAUCCGGAAUCAUUGGGUUUAAAGGGUCCGUAGGCGGUUUUAUAAGUCAGUGGUGAAAUCUGGUCGCUCAACGAUCAAACGGCCAUUGAUACUGUAGAACUUGAAUUACUUGGAAGUAACUAGAAUAUGUAGUGUAGCGGUGAAAUGCUCAGAGAUUACAUGGAAUACCAAUUGCGAAGGCAGGUUACUACAAGUGGAUUGACGCUGAUGGACGAAAGCGUGGGGAGCGAACAGGAUUAGAUACCCUGGUAGUCCACGCCGUAAACGAUGGAUACUAGCCGUUUGGAGCAAUCUGAGUGGCUAAGCGAAAGUGAUAAGUAUCCCACCUGGGGAGUACGCUCGCAAGAGUGAAACUCAAAGGAAUUGACGGGGGCCCGCACAAGCGGAGGAGCAUGUGGUUUAAUUCGAUGAUACGCGAGGAACCUUACCAAGGCUUAAAUGGGAAACGACAGGUUUGGAAACAGACUUUUCUUCGGACGUUUUUCAAGGUGCUGCAUGGUUGUCGUCAGCUCGUGCCGUGAGGUGUCAGGUUAAGUCCUAUAACGAGCGCAACCCCUGUUGUUAGUUGCCAGCGAGUCAAGUCGGGAACUCUAACAAGACUGCCAGUGCAAACUGUGAGGAAGGUGGGGAUGACGUCAAAUCAUCACGGCCCUUACGCCUUGGGCUACACACGUGCUACAAUGGACGGUACAGAGAGCAGCCACUACGCAAGUAGGAGCGAAUCUACAAAACCGUUCUCAGUUCGGAUCGGAGUCUGCAACUCGACUCCGUGAAGCUGGAUUCGCUAGUAAUCGCAGAUCAGCCAUGCUGCGGUGAAUACGUUCCCGGGCCU